UGGUGGAGCGGUUUGUCUGGUUAAUUUCGAUAACGAACGAGACUCUAGCCUGCUAAAUAGACGGGCGAUCCCUUGUGGGUCGAUCCGAUUUGCUUCUUAGAGGGACAAGUGGCGUUCCUAGCCACGCGAAAUUGAGCAAUAACA
RNAcentral lists this ribosomal RNA (144 nucleotides) under uncultured eukaryote. RNAcentral's name for it is "partial 18S ribosomal RNA". It matches the Rfam family "Eukaryotic small subunit ribosomal RNA", at positions 1299 to 1458 of the family's 1831-position model. The record is from RNAcentral.